RNAcentral lists this ribosomal RNA (1425 nucleotides) under Triticum aestivum (bread wheat). Its description in RNAcentral is "partial small subunit ribosomal RNA". The record is from RNAcentral. Lineage: Eukaryota; Viridiplantae; Streptophyta; Magnoliopsida; Poales; Poaceae.
AUGGACCACCCUGGCCACCCCCUAGCUACGCCACUGUCCUCCUCCUCCCCCGACUACGCCGCGGCAUUCAGAGCCGGGGCCUUCGGAGACGGGGUCACGGAGUCGAGCGCCGCCGCCGAACUCAGAGCCCGCGGCGGCAGGGCGCGGGCUACGUGGAGCGACCCCUUGGUGGCGGACACGAGGGAGGAGCCCAACGCGGCGGCGCAUCCGUCGUUCGACCACGGGAUGAUCGAUCGGCUGGUGCGAGAGCAAGCGGCCGUCGACGGGGCGAUCGGGCUACGGGAAGAGCCCGACGAGGCGGCGCCGUCGGUCGACCCCAAGCUGGUUGCGCAGUCGUUGCUCGAGCGGCUGGCGAGAGUGCAGGCGGCCGUCGACGAGGACAACAGGCGACGGGAACAGCAGUACGACUCGUUGCGCGCGGAAGAGGCGAUGUAUAGGAAGGAACAGGAGAAACUAUCACAAGUAAAGGUUGUGGUAAAGGUGAAACCCAAGCAAGGCAAACUAGGUAUAAACUGGACUCAGAUCAAGAACAAGAUUUUUCGUAGAGAAGGAAGGGAAAUAUGUUCGGAACAUGUGAACCACCAGACACAUCCCAUCACUGAAGUCAGAAGGCAUCAUAGGCUUGCUUCUGACGAGGCAAACCAUCUUGAUGCCUAUUCAGAAUAUAGAUCAGUGAUUGGAGAUGGGGAGUGUUUCUACAGGAGCUUCAUAUUUUCGUACCUUGAGCAAGUUAUUGAUAGGCAGGACACACAUGAGGAACAUCGUCUCCUUCGUGUUGUUGAAAGAAUGUCCAUGCAACAUGCAAAUCUUCGAUGGAACUCUGACUUUCGCAGGAGCAGCAAAGCAUUUAAGAAUCUGAUCAAGAAAAUAAUGAGACGGAAACAUGGCAGAGAAUCAACUAGCAGCCACCGUAAAGAGAAACUUCUCAAGUUCUUCAGCAAGGAUGAUACGACACUAGACAUUUUCAUUUUCCUCAGAUUAGUAGUAGCUAUCCAGAUGUGCUCGCACAGGGAGGUGUAUGAACCGCUUAUACCAGGGCUCAGAGGAAAUUACAAUCUGGAAGAUUGGUGCUUUUGGCGCGUCACUCCAGCUCGUCGGUUCACGGAUCAUGUUAUGAUGUUGGCCUUGGCAACAGCGCUUGAGGUACCCCUCAGAGUGGAGCGAGUCCGAGGAGGAUGUGAUCCAGAUAUCUACACUGGUCCUGGAGUUCCCCGUGCGAGAGUGACCCUGCUGUACUCGGCAAAUCACUACGAAAUCAUCUACCCACGUGCUCCUUCUGCUGAGAGUUCAAGUCAUCAGGCUUCCCAGAUAGAACAUGCUGCUGAUCAGGGUUCAAAUCAACAGACUUCCCAGAGAAAACAUCCUGCUGAUCAGAGUUCAAGUCAUCAGGCUUCCCAGAGAGACGAUCCUGCUGAUCAGAGUUGA